Molecule: non-coding RNA, 97 nt
Organism: Apodospora peruviana
Lineage: Eukaryota; Fungi; Ascomycota; Sordariomycetes; Sordariales; Lasiosphaeriaceae
Source: the annotation of a GenBank genome assembly
GGUCCGGUGGUGUAGCUGGUUAUCACAUCGUUCUUAUAGUAGAGUCUCAAACACUCUUCAUAUGCGAAGGUCCCGAGUUCAAUCCUCGGUCGGACCA